GUUGGUGUGGUGUAAUGGCAGCAUUACAACUUUCACCAAGUUGCCGGUGCGGGUUCGAUUCCCGUCACCAACU
Molecule: transfer RNA, 73 nt
Filed under: Candidatus Nanopelagicaceae bacterium
Lineage: Bacteria; Bacillati; Actinomycetota; Actinomycetes; Candidatus Nanopelagicales; Candidatus Nanopelagicaceae
Description: tRNA-Val
Rfam family: tRNA
About the family: Transfer RNA (tRNA) molecules are approximately 80 nucleotides in length.
Source: RNAcentral